UGGGGAAUAUUGGACAAUGGGCGCAAGCCUGAUCCAGCCAUGCCGCGUGAGGGAUGACGGCCUUCGGGUUGUAAACCUCUUUCAGCUCCGACGAAGCGAAAGUGACGGUAGGAGCAGAAGAAGCACCGGCUAACUACGUGCCAGCAGCCGCGGUAAUACGUAGGGUGCAAGCGUUGUCCGGAAUUAUUGGGCGUAAAGAGCUCGUAGGCGGUCCGUUGCGUCUGCCGUGAAAACCCGGAGCUCAACUCCGGGCCUGCGGUGGAUACGGGCGGACUAGAGUCCGGUAGGGGAGACUGGAAUUCCUGGUGUAGCGGUGGAAUGCGCAGAUAUCAGGAGGAACACCGGUGGCGAAGGCGGGUCUCUGGGCCGGAACUGACGCUGAGGAGCGAAAGCGUGGGGAGCGAACAGGAUUAGAUACCCUGGUAGUCCACGGCCGUAAAACGAUGAGUGCUAGUCGUCGGCAGGCAUGCCUGUCGGUGACGCAGCUAACGCAUUAAGCACUCCGCCUGGGGAGUACGGCCGCAAGGUU
This 529-nucleotide ribosomal RNA is filed under the name uncultured bacterium. Its description in RNAcentral is "bacterial SSU rRNA". It matches the Rfam family "Bacterial small subunit ribosomal RNA", at positions 355 to 895 of the family's 1533-position model. The record is from RNAcentral.